GCCCAAAUACUCCAGUUUGGGGAUGUGGAGUCCAGUACUUGUCUGAUUGUGCUUCCUCGAUUAUUUCAUUGGGUACCGAUGACAAAUAUUCCUCUGGAUUCUUGUCAUACACCGAUGACAUGUGGACUGCCCUCCUGCACGACAUAUAUAUAGGAAUCCAACCUAAUUAGAAGGCUUCCAAAAAAUAGAAAGCAUCAUGAAUAGCUACGAAAUUCAUAGCGAAUCUUGUCAUUUAUCUACAAUGAAAGAUCAUGUUCGUCUUGGCUAAUUCCUUUUUUCUAUAGAGUUGAUCCCACCUAGUAUUAAUUCAGCUACCAAAAUAUACAUAUAGCUCCUCUAUUAUUUCACGCCUUUACUGCGGCUUCUUGCAUGAAAAAGGCAAGAACAACGAAUUAACAUGCAGGAAGAAAUCAUAAAAGGAUAAAAAAACGUCGUACUAAAGAUCUCGAGAGAGUUAUGGGUUCAGCUAUACAUGUUCAGAACUCAUAAAUCCAAAAUUCUUCUUCCACCGCCUCUGUAAUUAAAGUAGUAUACCUGCCAGUAGAUGAGUUAGCAGAAUUUCGAGCGAUAUGGUUCAUAAUUAAUCGCUUCCCCAAGGCCAAGCUCACAAGUCCACGUUUCUGUAAGUUAGCGGCCAUGAAAAUACAGAUGGAUUCUUACACAGUGAGCAAAUGAGCUAACAAGAAG
Molecule: long non-coding RNA, 687 nt
Filed under: Capsicum annuum
Lineage: Eukaryota; Viridiplantae; Streptophyta; Magnoliopsida; Solanales; Solanaceae
Description: long non-coding RNA (CANN_LNC009246)
Source: RNAcentral